Molecule: ribosomal RNA, 549 nt
Filed under: Faecalibacterium prausnitzii
Lineage: Bacteria; Bacillati; Bacillota; Clostridia; Eubacteriales; Oscillospiraceae
Description: bacterial SSU rRNA
Rfam family: Bacterial small subunit ribosomal RNA
Source: RNAcentral
ACGAUCGGUAGCCGGACUGAGAGGUUGAACGGCCACAUUGGGACUGAGACACGGCCCAGACUCCUACGGGAGGCAGCAGUGGGGAAUAUUGCACAAUGGGGGAAACCCUGAUGCAGCGACGCCGCGUGGAGGAAGAAGGUCUUCGGAUUGUAAACUCCUGUUGUUGAGGAAGAUAAUGACGGUACUCAACAAGGAAGUGACGGCUAACUACGUGCCAGCAGCCGCGGUAAAACGUAGGUCACAAGCGUUGUCCGGAAUUACUGGGUGUAAAGGGAGCGCAGGCGGGAAGACAAGUUGGAAGUGAAAUCUAUGGGCUCAACCCAUAAACUGCUUUCAAAACUGUUUUUCUUGAGUAGUGCAGAGGUAGGCGGAAUUCCCGGUGUAGCGGUGGAAUGCGUAGAUAUCGGGAGGAACACCAGUGGCGAAGGCGGCCUACUGGGCACCAACUGACGCUGAGGCUCGAAAGUGUGGGUAGCAAACAGGAUUAGAUACCCUGGUAGUCCACACCGUAAACGAUGAUUACUAGGUGUUGGAGGAUUGACCCCUUCA